UACGGAGGGUGCAAACGUUGCUCGGAAUCAUUGGGCGUAAAGCGCACGUAGGCGGACUGUUAAGUCGGAUGUGGAAGCCCUCGGCUUAACCGAGGAACUGCGUCUGAUACUGGAUGGCUUGAAUCCGGGAGAGGGAUGCGGAAUUCCAGGUGUAGCGGUGAAAUGCGUAGAUAUCUGGAGGAACACCUAUAGCGAAGGCAGCUUGCUGGGACGUAACUGACGCUAAGGCGCGAAAGCGUGGGGAGCGAACAGG
This 253-nucleotide ribosomal RNA is filed under the name uncultured bacterium. RNAcentral's name for it is "partial 16S ribosomal RNA". It matches the Rfam family "Bacterial small subunit ribosomal RNA", at positions 524 to 776 of the family's 1533-position model. The record is from RNAcentral.